AGUUAUCUUCCCUCUUCAAAUUGUUUAGGACACUGAAUAUGGCCUCAGGAUCUUUACAUGAUUCUAUGUGGGGUAGAAGAAAACCCGGAGGACUGAGGCUUCUCUCCCUCAGGGAAGAGAAAGAGAGUGUGUGACCUGGGUCCCUUUACAGGAACCUCAGUUUUCUUGGUUCUUACAUAAGACUGAGUGGACAGCCAGUGUGGAGGCAAGCCAUGUCUCUUCAUAAUAGUCAUUUUAGUUUCUCAUGAGAACCAUACUACAAAAAACACAAAAUUCUGUCCUUACCGUUAUCCCUCUGUGUGCUGGUUAAUACUGAGUGUCAACUUGAUUGGAUUGAAAGAUGCAGGGUGUUGAUCUUGGGUGUGUCUGUGGGGUGUUACCAAAGGAGAUUAGUGUUUGAGUCAGUGGGCUUCAAAAGGCAGACACACCCUUAAUCUUGUGGGCACAAUCUAAUCAGCUGCCAGUGAAUAUAAAGCAGGGAGAGAAACGUGAAAAACUGAGACAGGCCUAUCCUCCCAGUCUGCAUCUUUCUCCCGUGCUGGAUGCUUCCUGCCCCUGAACAUCAGACUCCAAGUUCUUCAGUUUUGGGAUUCUGACUCUCCUUGCUUCUCAGCUUGCAGACAGCCUAUUAUGGGAUCUUAUGAUCGUGCUCUGGGACUCAGGCAAAGAGAGAGAGUGUGCCAAGGAAGGAGGUCGUGUUUCCUCUCACUGUUUACCCUCCGGUCCAGAUUUUUCUUCAAAAGAAAUCUGAGUGGUCUGACAGGUAAAAUAUCCUGAUAUACCAAGAUUAUACAGCGUCUUUCUGUGCCAUUACCUAACCAAUCUAUCUGUUAAACCCCAACCCUGUUUGAUAAUUGGGGGAGGGUGUGGGAGAGUCAUUUGUUCAAAGUGAUACAGAGACACUAUAGAGGAGUGUGUAGGAGCACAAGGCUUCAGAUACAGGUUUUCCCAGUUCCAGUCUCACCUCUCUGUUACCUUGGGCAAGUCCUUUAAUCUUGCUUGGGAGCCCAAAAGUGAGAACACAGUGGGCAUCCACCCCUGGCCUUGGCAAUGUGCCAGAUUCAAAUAAAAUACCACCCAGCACUUUUCGAGGUGAGACAGGGUCACUUUUUGAGGUGAGACAGGGUGAGUGUAAUCUUUAAAUCACUGAUAUGACGAUCCCAGGAUGGAAACUCAGCAGGAUGGGCCUCAGAAACAG
This 1198-nucleotide long non-coding RNA is filed under the name Callithrix jacchus (white-tufted-ear marmoset). RNAcentral's name for it is "lncRNA (ENSCJAG00000074766.1)". The record is from RNAcentral. Lineage: Eukaryota; Metazoa; Chordata; Mammalia; Primates; Cebidae.